AAACCGGGAGAUAGCUGGUUCUCCCCGAAAGCUAUUUAGGUAGCGCCUCGUGAAUUCAUCUCCGGGGGUAGAGCACUGUUUCGGCAAGGGGGUCAUCCCGACUUACCAACCCGAUGCAAACUGCGAAUACCGGAGAAUGUUAUCACGGGAGACACACGGCGGGUGCUAACGUCCGUCGUGAAAAGGGAAACAACCCAGACCGCCAGCUAAGGUCCCAAAGUCAUGGUUAAGUGGGAAACGAUGUGGGAAGGCCCAGACAGCCAGGAUGUUGGCUUAGAAGCAGCCAUCAUUUAAAGAAAGCGUAAUAGCUCACUGGUCGAGUCGGCCUGCGCGGAAGAUGU
RNAcentral lists this ribosomal RNA (341 nucleotides) under Xanthomonas citri pv. citri. RNAcentral's name for it is "partial 23S ribosomal RNA". It matches the Rfam family "Bacterial large subunit ribosomal RNA", at positions 835 to 1173 of the family's 2925-position model. The record is from RNAcentral. Lineage: Bacteria; Pseudomonadati; Pseudomonadota; Gammaproteobacteria; Lysobacterales; Lysobacteraceae.